This 71-nucleotide transfer RNA is filed under the name Podarcis lilfordi (Lilford's wall lizard). Its description in RNAcentral is "tRNA.Lys". The stretch from base 4 to 64 matches the Rfam family "tRNA", at positions 7 to 64 of the family's 71-position model. From Rfam's summary of the family: Transfer RNA (tRNA) molecules are approximately 80 nucleotides in length. Their secondary structure includes four short double-helical elements and three loops (D, anti-codon, and T loops). Further hydrogen bonds mediate the characteristic L-shaped molecular structure. tRNAs have two regions of fundamental functional importance: the anti-codon, which is responsible for specific mRNA codon recognition, and the 3' end, to which the tRNAs corresponding amino acid is attached (by aminoacyl-tRNA synthetases). tRNAs cope with the degeneracy of the genetic code in two manners: having more than one tRNA (with a specific anti-codon) for a particular amino acid; and 'wobble' base-pairing, i.e. permitting non-standard base-pairing at the 3rd anti-codon position. The record is from RNAcentral. Lineage: Eukaryota; Metazoa; Chordata; Lepidosauria; Squamata; Lacertidae.
AUAGUGGUGCAAUGGGUUAGUGAAUCUGGCUUUUAACCAGAAGGUUGGUGGUUUGAGCCCACCCAGGGAUG